Molecule: long non-coding RNA, 838 nt
Organism: Prosopis cineraria
Lineage: Eukaryota; Viridiplantae; Streptophyta; Magnoliopsida; Fabales; Fabaceae
Exons: 5
Source: RefSeq, a predicted model, not a curated record
UCGACUAUUCCAGAAUGAGGAGGGAGAGAAAUUUGCUCUCCAUUCUUCGUACACCCUCCACCUUCCUUUCCGUUCUAUCGCCGGUGACUAUGAGUGCCGGAGUCUGCCUCUUCAUCCUCCUUUGCGACUGACGCCAGUGGCCUCCUUACUUUCUCGAGCUGGCUCAUGUCUGAACUGGGGAAGAGUAAGAGAAAAUCUGUCACCUUCUUCCUCCUCUUCAUAGCUCGCCACUGUCGUAGCAAGCUUUGGGUUCUUCAAUGUUUUACUAUGGAAGUUAGUUCGCUGUUGUAAGGGGCUCAGAUUGAGGCUGUCUCUUCCCCUUGCACCACCACCGUUCUUCUUUUGCCUUUGUCAUUGGCCUUGCUGUUCUGCAUGUUCGAAUAUGGAGAGAGAAGUUCAAGCAAGUUGACGUAUUGGUCUUUUGAGGACGAUGAAGAAGAAUUUAAGGACAAAGCAUUGUUCCUAGAAGAUUUGUUUGGAAGUAAGUUAUACACUUGGGACCUCUACAGAUAAUGUGAAUGGCUUUGGACUUCUAGUUGAUCAUUAAGGGCCAUCUUUUGACUUGAAGUGAAGAGUUAAUGACCACCCUCUUUUUGUUGUAAAGAUUUAAAUAUGAAAUUUUAUUUUGUAAAUUUUAUUGUAGGAGCUCUACAUAACUAUAGUUAAAGCCCUUAUAUGUGUAUUAUGCUUGAUUUGUUUGGUAGAAGGAGCAUAGCUCCUUGUUGAAUGUUAUUUGUUACUAAAAGAAAAUACUGUUAUUGAAAUCUUGGAGUCUUAUUUUGAGAAUGGUCAUGUUAAAAUUUUAAAAAUAAAAUAAAAUAAAAUACAACCUUUUGUU